GUAGAGAUCUCACCUGGUGAUGGUUCAGUCAUCAGAUCUAAUGGAGUUCUAGCCAAUUACUUCACACAUUACAAAGCUGGAGCUGCUCACAGAGAUGCAAGACAACUCUCUGUAGUGUUCACUUUGACAUUCAGUGAAUUAAAGGUAGAGUGUAUACAUUUGCUGUGUGAUUCAGAAGAUUUCACAGUUGAUUUUGGUGUGUUCUCAGGCUGUGGAGUGUGUGUAUUACCUGUGUGGUCUCCCACCUGACAUACCGGGUCAGCUGUAUUCUGUCCAAUCUGUCGUCACACGGGCCAGCAGGGGCAGGAAUAUCUUCCACCACCUCCCAACUGAACAUCAACCUUGACUCAAGACAGAAACCAGACCGUCUCACAGGUGGUGCCAGCUCAGUUUGCCAGAUAGGCACCAAACUCUUCUCCAAGUUGAGACAGACCAAACUUAUCAAAGGUGUGUGUCUGCAGUAGUGCCUUGGUGUGACUGGGUAAAACAGACAGAUCAGAGCAUGAGUGCAGUGGGUGUGGCUCUCUCAGACUCCGCCCAUUCUGACACACGUCAGCCAAUAACAUGCAGAUCUGUUGUUUCUGAACUGGAAAAGAUCAAGAGGUUUAACUUUUUGUUGGAGAACAGCCCCGUCCUGCGUCCUACAGGAAGAUCUUUGAGCUGUGACCGACCUGAGAUCAAACUCACAGAGAUCUGCAUCUCUGAGGUGCUGCAGAAAACCUCCAAAGCCAUACAGGACAUUGACACACUUUUAUCAGACAGACCGUAGGAUUGGAUGCAGACAUAUUAUUUAGGGAAAUGAAAAACAUGGCUGUAAGGGACAGACAUACACAAAACUCACUAAACCUGGCAAGAACAUG
This is a long non-coding RNA of Sinocyclocheilus rhinocerous, 860 nucleotides long. RefSeq lists it as uncharacterized. The transcript is spliced from 5 exons. The record is from RefSeq and is a predicted model, not a curated record. NCBI's taxonomy places the organism in Eukaryota, Metazoa, Chordata, Actinopteri, Cypriniformes, Cyprinidae.